AGAAUCAACGCUGGCGGCGUGCCUAACACAUGCAAGUCGAGCGCGAAAGGGGAGCAAUCUCCGAGUAGAGCGGCGAACGGGUGAGUAACGCGUGGGUAAUCUACCUCCGAGUGGGGAAUAACAGCGGGAAACUGCUGCUAAUACCGCAUGACAUCGUCGAGCCCUCGGGCCUGACGAUCAAAGCCGGGGACCGCAAGGCCUGGCGCUUGGAGAGGAGCCCGCGUCCGAUUAGCUAGUUGGCGGGUAAUGGCCCACCAAGGCUCCGAUCGGUAGCCGGCCUGAGAGGGCGGACGGCCACGACGUGGACUGAGACGCGGCCAGACUCCGUACGGGAGGCAGCGAGUGGGAAGUUUUUCGCAAGUGGGAACCCGUGGACGAAGCAACGCCGCGUGGAGGAGUAGAGGCCGUUCGGU
This 413-nucleotide ribosomal RNA is filed under the name uncultured soil bacterium. RNAcentral's name for it is "bacterial SSU rRNA". It matches the Rfam family "Bacterial small subunit ribosomal RNA", at positions 26 to 423 of the family's 1533-position model. The record is from RNAcentral.